UACGGGGGGGGUAAGCGUUGUUCGGAAUUACUGGGCGUAAAGGGCUCGUAGGCGGCCUUCUAAGUCGAACGUGAAAUCCCUAGCUCAACCUAGGAACUGCGUCCGAUACUGGGAGGCUUGAAUCCGGGAGAGGGAUGCGGAAUUCCAGGUGUAGCGGUGAAAUGCGUAGAUAUCUGGAGGAACACCGGUGGCGAAGGCGGCAUCCUGGACCGGUAUUGACGCUGAGGCGCGAAAGCCAGGGGAGCAAACGGG
This 252-nucleotide ribosomal RNA is filed under the name uncultured bacterium. RNAcentral's name for it is "partial 16S ribosomal RNA". It matches the Rfam family "Bacterial small subunit ribosomal RNA", at positions 524 to 776 of the family's 1533-position model. The record is from RNAcentral.